UGACCUUUAGUUUAAUGGUAAAACGAACAACCGAUAAUUGUUAGAAGAGGGUUCGAUUCUUUCAAGGUCAA
This 71-nucleotide transfer RNA is filed under the name Rickettsiales bacterium. Its description in RNAcentral is "tRNA-Ile". It matches the Rfam family "tRNA". From Rfam's summary of the family: Transfer RNA (tRNA) molecules are approximately 80 nucleotides in length. Their secondary structure includes four short double-helical elements and three loops (D, anti-codon, and T loops). The record is from RNAcentral. Lineage: Bacteria; Pseudomonadati; Pseudomonadota; Alphaproteobacteria; Rickettsiales.